This 335-nucleotide unclassified non-coding RNA is filed under the name soil metagenome. RNAcentral's name for it is "partial contains 5.8S ribosomal RNA, internal transcribed spacer 2, and large subunit ribosomal RNA". The stretch from base 1 to 120 matches the Rfam family "5.8S ribosomal RNA", at positions 35 to 154 of the family's 154-position model. The record is from RNAcentral.
GAUGAAGAACGUAGCGAAAUGCGAUAAGUAAUGUGAAUUGCAGAAUUCAGUGAAUCAUCGAAUCUUUGAACGCACAUUGCGCCCCUUGGUAUUCCGUGGGGCAUGCCUGUUCGAGCGUCAUUUCAACCCUCAAGCUCUGCUUGGUAUUGGGCUCCGUCCUCAGGGACGCGCCUCAAAGACCUCGGCGGUGGCGUCUUGCCUCAAGCGUAGUAGAAAACACCUCGCUUUGGAGUGCUGGGCGUCGCCCGCCGGACGAACCUUUGAAUUUUUCUCAAGGUUGACCUCGGAUCAGGUAGGGAUACCCGCUGAACUUAAGCAUAUCAAUAAGCGGAGGA